GUGGGGAAUAUUGGGCAAUGGGCGAAAGCCUGACCCAGCAACGCCGCGUGAAGGAAGAAGGUUUUCGGAUCGUAAACUUCUAUCCUUGGUGAAGAUAAUGACGGUAGCCAAGAAGGAAGCCCCGGCUAACUACGUGCCAGCAGCCGCGGUAAUACGUAGGGGGCAAGCGUUGUCCGGAAUGAUUGGGCGUAAAGGGCGCGUAGGCGGCCCGGUAAGUCUGAAGUGAAAGCCCUGCUUUUAAGGUGGGAAUUGCUUUGGAUACUGUCGGGCUUGAGUGCAGGAGAGGUAAGCGGAAUUCCCGGUGUAGCGGUGAAAUGCGUAGAGAUCGGGAGGAACACCAGUGGCGAAGGCGGCUUACUGGACUGUAACUGACGCUGAGGCGCGAAAGUGUGGGGAGCAAACAGGAUUAGAUACCCGUGUAGUCC
RNAcentral lists this ribosomal RNA (425 nucleotides) under uncultured bacterium. Its description in RNAcentral is "partial 16S ribosomal RNA". It matches the Rfam family "Bacterial small subunit ribosomal RNA", at positions 354 to 796 of the family's 1533-position model. The record is from RNAcentral.